GCUUAUGGCCAUACCACCCUGAACAUGCCCGAUCUCGAAAGCUAAGCAGGGUCGGGCCUGGUUAGUACUUAGCCUGGGAAUACCAGGUGCUGUAAGCU
RNAcentral lists this ribosomal RNA (98 nucleotides) under Larimichthys crocea (large yellow croaker). Lineage: Eukaryota; Metazoa; Chordata; Actinopteri; Sciaenidae. The record is from RNAcentral.